This 253-nucleotide ribosomal RNA is filed under the name uncultured bacterium. Its description in RNAcentral is "partial 16S ribosomal RNA". It matches the Rfam family "Bacterial small subunit ribosomal RNA", at positions 524 to 776 of the family's 1533-position model. The record is from RNAcentral.
UACGUAGGGUGCAAGCGUUGUCCGGAAUUAUUGGGCGUAAAGAGCUCGUAGGCGGUCUGUCGCGUCGGCUGUGAAAACUCGGGGCUCAACCCCGAGCCUGCAGUCGAUACGGGCAGACUAGAGUGCUGUAGGGGAGACUGGAAUUCCUGGUGUAGCGGUGAAAUGCGCAGAUAUCAGGAGGAACACCGGUGGCGAAGGCGGGUCUCUGGGCCACUACUGACGCUGAGAAGCGAAAGCAUGGGGAGCGAACAGG